UAAUACGAAGGGGGCUAGCGUUGCUCGGAAUUACUGGGCGUAAAGGGCGCGUAGGCGGCUCUGUGAGUCGGGCGUGAAAUUCCUGGGCUCAACCUGGGGACUGCGUUCGAUACGGCAGGGCUAGAGGACGGAAGAGGCUCGUGGAAUUCCCAGUGUAGAGGUGAAAUUCGUAGAUAUUGGGAAGAACACCGGUGGCGAAGGCGGCGAGCUGGUCCGUAACUGACGCUGAGGCGCGACAGCGUGGGGAGCAAACAGGAUUAGAUACCCUGGUAGUCCACGCCGUAAACGAUGUGCGCUGAAUGUUGGGGCUCUUAGAGCUUCAGUGUUGUAGCUAACGCGGUAAGCGCACCGCCUGGGGAGUACGGCCGCAAGGUUG
Molecule: ribosomal RNA, 376 nt
Filed under: uncultured bacterium
Lineage: Bacteria
Description: bacterial SSU rRNA
Rfam family: Bacterial small subunit ribosomal RNA
Source: RNAcentral